RNAcentral lists this ribosomal RNA (478 nucleotides) under uncultured bacterium. RNAcentral's name for it is "bacterial SSU rRNA". It matches the Rfam family "Bacterial small subunit ribosomal RNA", at positions 330 to 801 of the family's 1533-position model. The record is from RNAcentral.
ACCGUACUCCUACGGGAGGCAGCAGUGGGGAAUUUUGGACAAUGGGGGCAACCCUGAUCCAGCAAUGCCGCGUGAGUGAAGAAGGCCUUCGGGUUGUAAAGCUCUUUUGUCAGGGAAGAAACGGUAGUAGCUAAUAUCUAUUACUAAUGACGGUACCUGAAGAAUAAGCACCGGCUAACUACGUGCCAGUAGCCGCGGUAAUACGUAGGGUGCAAGCGUUAAUCGGAAUUACUGGGCGUAAAGCGUGCGCAGGCGGUUGUGUAAGUCAGAUGUGAAAUCCCCGGGCUCAACCUGGGAAUUGCAUUUGAGACUGCACGGCUAGAGUGUGUCAGAGGGGGGUAGAAUUCCUCGUGUAGCAGUGAACUGCGUAGAUAUGUGGAGGAAUACCGAUGGCGAAGGCAGCCCCUGGGAGAACACUGACGCUCAUGCACGAAAGCGUGGGGAGCAAACAGGAUUAGAAACCCCGGUAGUCCUUGAC